Molecule: ribosomal RNA, 584 nt
Filed under: Opecoelus sp. 1 JB-2022
Lineage: Eukaryota; Metazoa; Platyhelminthes; Trematoda; Plagiorchiida; Opecoelidae
Description: partial large subunit ribosomal RNA
Source: RNAcentral
ACUCUGAGAGAGAGUAACAGUGCGUGAAGCCGUUCAAGGUAAACGGGUGGAGUUGAACUGUGAGUUCCRAGGGUUCAGCUGGUAACCAUGGUUGAGCUUGGUUAAAUUGGCUGGKUGCUGGGGUCUGCGUAUUAKCAGGKCCUCACUUCGGUGGGGAUGUGCGAUACACUCGUUGAGUGUUGUGCGCCCUAGUUUUCCGGGCCUGGUUGCCAGUGCACUCCCUCGGGACGGUCACCACRACCGGCACUGCCGUUGGUCUGUUGUAGUCAAACCGGGCGCGCUUUGUCCUUGUGGCUCURUGCGUUCGGGAUGGCAGGUAGCUCUUUGGCUUGCUUGCAGGCCUUGGGGUGAAAUCAGCUGGCUGAAAUUUGACUAUGCGGKGUGCCGGUGACGGCGGCUUGAGGUGUGUGCGUGCGCGCUAGUUUCCCGGCGUGUCCAUGUCUGGUUGCUCAGUUGCUCACCUAGUGGGCCAAGCGGCGACUGGGAUAUGUUCGGGAGGCGGUCGUGUGCGUGACAUCGUACUUGGGCCAAUAGUCUGUGGUGUUGCGGUAGACGAUCCACCUGACCCGUCUUGAAACACGGAC